AACCCUAGUAUAAAAUGCUCUCAUCUCGUCAGGGAAGCCUUCACAUCCUCUUCUAGAACACCCAGACACACGCACACGCACACACAUUGAAAAGGGAGAAGAACAGACAUAGCAACGGAGAGAUGCGAGAAAAUUGGUAGCCGCCGUAGUCCCUUCUCUUCUUCACUUACUCAUUUGUAAUUACACAGAUUUUGCAUCUUCAUGUUUUGGAGCUCCAUUUUUCAGAUCAGUCCCCAUAACUUCAUUAAAAAAUAUUGAAAGAAUCUUGAGCAAGGAAAGCCAAAUUCAGCGUCACCCAAAAUGACCAUCCAAGUUCCAAUUUGAGUCAAGCUCCGACGCUUCUACCUAAAUUACGGCUUCAUUUUGUUCUUUCACAAAACAACAGCUUUAUAUUUUUUCUUUUUCUUUCUCUCGCUAUUAUAAAGAUCCCUUAAAAAUUAACAAAGCUCUGUUCCCAUCAAAAGCUUCCGUAAGUUGAGUGAAUCCAGUGAGUUUGAGGUGUAGGUUGCUUAUGUCUUAGCAGAAACAGAGGAGUCGAGGAGGCUCCGUUGGUCUUGUAAGUUCUAAAAAUUCAUUUGAGGUUAUUUUUAUGGUCCGCGGAUCAAUCUCUUGCUGCUGUUGCAUUUUUCAGUCAGAUUUCUAUUGUUGGGUUCGCUGUAACUGAAUUCUCGUUAAUAGAAAGGAAAGCUUAACGAGUGAGAUCACGUAUCCUUAAGGGUAAACACAUUCAUCUCAGCUCCAAUCCCAUCGGUCGGCCUAUUUGUUGAUCAAAUGCAACCUUCAACCUCGAUUCAAAUCAGAUUGGCAGAUGGCACACGAAUGGUUUUAAGGUUCAACUUCCAACAUAAAGUUAGAGAUAUCCGAGGAUUAACUGAUGCAUCAAGGCCUGGUGGACCAAGGAGCUAUCAUCUGCAGACAAUGGGUUUCCUCCCAAGGAACUUGCUGAUCUCGACCAGACAAUAGAACAAGCUGGCCUAGCCAAUUCAGUUGUGAUCCAGAAACUUGAGUUAUUUCACAUUUUAUGCCAAUUCUAAUGCAGUUACCACCACGAACAGAUAUUGAUCUCUAAAUGUUGAGCCUUGAGGGUGCGUUGAUGUGUUCCUUGAGGCAUCCUAACAUUGGCUUAACCUAUUCCCAAAAGCAAACUCAUUAGGUGAGAAUUAUCCAAAAUUAUAUAAGGAGAUAAUAGGUCAUUCCUCAACCAAUAUGGGACAUUAACCUUACUCUUUGUUCAAGAUUGGACAAUUGGAUAGUGGAUAACAUAAUAUGGGGUCUAAUAUUGAGUAAACCAAGAAUUGCGAUGAGUUUACCCCUUUUACCACUUAAAGAAAAUAAACCUUUAUCCUAACUCCAAAAUCUAGAUCAAGGAUUGUCUCAAAUCGAAUAAGGGGACAACAAUCCAUCUCCUCAACUAACAUAGGCCGCUUAACAUUUGCCUAACAUUGCUUUGCAGCAGAAGCAAUUGAACUGAUCCGCUUAACAUUGCUUUGUAAAAUUGGUGGAUUGCCGUCCUUGAGCAACAGUGUAUAGUGGUUCGCAUCCCUGAGUAGUGAGAAUCAGAGGCCGCCCUGAGAGAAUAGACACUUGCGGAAAAUGUAUGUAUGCCGCCAUUCAUGGCAAAGACGAACAGGCAGCUUAGACAUGUAUGUGUAAUUGUAUAAUUCAUUUCGAUCGCCAUUUAGUUUGCUUUAUUUUUUGUAGGGCAUAGACCUUGCAAGCUUUA
Non-coding RNA from Nicotiana tabacum (common tobacco), 1723 nucleotides. The record is from RefSeq and is a predicted model, not a curated record. Lineage: Eukaryota; Viridiplantae; Streptophyta; Magnoliopsida; Solanales; Solanaceae.